AAACCCUAAUCUCCUUCGCCUCCAUCGUUCGUUCUUUCAUCAUCAGUCAUCGAUAUCAAAUCACCAUUCUUUUGUAAACCCUAACCUUCCUUCCCCUUCAUCAUGAAUCAUCAUUCUCUUCUCUAAUGGUUAAACAAACCAGACUGGGUUUCCAUUUCGUCAUUGCAAUCCGAUUUCAAAUCUCAGAAACCCUAUGCAAUCCGAAGAUAUCUUUAGGAUUGUUUUCGAAGCCCUAGAUAUCGCAUACAUCUUCCUUCUCGAUGAAGCCUCUUAAAUCUGAACAUUCAAGCAUCAGUCUAGGGUUCCGGUGGUAGAACUCAAGCAGAUCGGUGGAUAUAAAGACGAGUUCCCAGGUGUAGAUGGUGGUUGUGGCAGGUCCCGACAAACAGAGUUGCAGAUCUAGGGUUUAACUUUCAUGUGUGGAUUUUUUAACUCUAAAGUUGCUUCUGAGGUUUGUUUGUAACUUUUUUUCAUUUGAGAAAUUUAUAUUUGGGUUUGUUGUUGUUAGCUGGCUGGAUUGUGUAUUUCUGUUGUUCUAGAUUCUAACAUCAUGAUGAUUGUUUGUUUGUUUAUUUAUUAAAAAAACUGUUCUAAUGAAUUUAAUUGAUGGAUGAUGGAGAAAUGUGGUGAUAAUAUAUUGUGUUCCUAAAAGAAUAUUGGGCUUUGAUUUGUAUGAUUGUUGUUGUAGACUCUUGUAAACAGAAUUGGUCUUGCUGAUAAACUGUUGGGGCAUGAAGGGUGCACAAACACAGUUGCUUUUGUAAGAAAAAUGGUUUUUUUUGUAUAAAACCUCAAAACCGAACCAUCAAACCAUGAAAACCGGCCGGUUCGGUUUGUAUUUUGCUGCAAAGAGGUUUCGGCGCAUUAUCAUUAUAUAAUUUCUCUAAAUGAUGAUGAUAUAUCAAAAGGCAACAGUGGUUACAUAGGAAAGUUGAGGCAAGUUAGUUAUGAAUGACUGAAUGAAUUAGUUUUGUUUUAGCAGUAAUCUUUUAUUGAAAAAUCAUAUGUUUGUUAUGACAGAUACAAUUUUAUUGGGAGCAAGUUUAGAGCUUAUGUUUUAGCAACGAUAUGUCAUUCCUCGAGGAUGGGGAGCGUCAAACGUGUAUCACCUAAAUCCCUGCUGGAAAUUAUCCAUUUUCCAACAUUUCAUAUGAAGUAAAUAACCCGGGAACCAGGUUAAUAAUAGUAUGUCACGUCUAUACCAAAAGAAAGUUAUGUUGACUAUCUUGAACAAAUUCAACAAUUGCUGAAGGUUAGAUUUUGUUUAAUCUUACUUGUACUGGAAAUAACUUUGUGAAUUUGUCUUUAUUGUUGAGAAUUUUGGUGUUCUACACGUCAAUUUGGCUACAGUUACAAGUUUGACAUUUCUUUGAUACCCUGAUCUGAGUGUUAUACUAGUGCUUCACCAAUCAGGCUGUAAUAUAACCACCUGUCAGCUACUGGUUCAAUCAUGUAGAUAUCUUUUAUGAUGUAAAUGUUACUGUUAAUUACAUCAGUUUGUAGGUUGAAUUCAAGGUUCCAAAGUUGAGGUGGGAUC
This is a long non-coding RNA of Helianthus annuus (common sunflower), 1537 nucleotides long. RefSeq lists it as uncharacterized. The record is from RefSeq and is a predicted model, not a curated record. NCBI's taxonomy places the organism in Eukaryota, Viridiplantae, Streptophyta, Magnoliopsida, Asterales, Asteraceae. The transcript has 5 exons.